Long non-coding RNA from Lycium ferocissimum, 967 nucleotides. RefSeq lists it as uncharacterized. Lineage: Eukaryota; Viridiplantae; Streptophyta; Magnoliopsida; Solanales; Solanaceae. The transcript is spliced from 2 exons. The record is from RefSeq and is a predicted model, not a curated record.
GGUAAAACAGUCAAGUUAAACGUUAAGGAAUCAGAAAGGAUUGAAAAUGUCAAAGCGUUGCUACAUGAUAAGGAGGGCAUACCGGUAUGUCAUCAGCAACUGUUUUCAGAAGAUAAUAGGUUAAUGGAUGAACGGAAGCUGGUUGAUUAUGGAAUUUGCAAAAACUCCACCCUUCAUACUUAUGUGGAAGAUUUAGUGAUCGUUGAUUUUAUUAUAUGUAAAGAGAUCGUAUGCUGAAGGCGCAAUUACGGUUUAUUCAAGGAUUUACGAUACUAAGGAUGUCAAAUCUAGGAUUGCUGCCAAAGAAGGAACAAACUCGGAAGAAUUCUCUCUUAUUCAUGAUGGUGGUACCGGGAACAAUAAGAUCUUUGUCGGGAAAUGUAAUGGUGAGAGUAUAAUGCUAGACGUGCACAAGCACAAUUUAAUAAAGGAUGUAAAGGGCAUCCUUCUAAAUAAGCUAGGAAUACCAGUUCAUCUGCAAAAUCUUAUGUUUGCGAGAAAAUGUUUAGCUGAUUCCCGGGAUUUAGCUAGCUACAAUAUUCACAAGGAGUCAAUUCUGUAUUUGGUCCUACACAUGACACCCAACGUCGACAACGCCAGAUGAAAUUAUGUUCAGUCAUAGUUGUGGCAAAUUCUCUUACCAGCUCAACCCCCCUUGCUCAUUUGAAUAAGUUAACCGCGAACGAAGUAAAACAACCCGUGAAGGAACUAAUCGUAGGUGGCACACUUGUGAACUUCUCUCUCUAUCUUGAUGACUAUGGAAUCACUGGAGUUGGUCCUCGUGUAUUGAGUGCUUUGGCCUACUUGUGUCAUAUAUACAAAGACAGCAAGUUGUCCGCUGCAUCGCUUGUGAACAUGUUGUUUUUGAUAUUUGGUAUGCUAUGAACUUUUGUUGUUUUAAAAUCCUCUUGGAUUACCUAGUUGCAUGCAUGGACCAAAGUAACAUCGAAAACCAAUAUUGGACCAU